Molecule: ribosomal RNA, 200 nt
Filed under: uncultured bacterium
Lineage: Bacteria
Description: partial 16S ribosomal RNA
Rfam family: Bacterial small subunit ribosomal RNA
Source: RNAcentral
AGCGAACGCUGGCGGCAGGCCUUAACACAUGCAAGUCGAACGCACCUUCGGGUGAGUGGCGGACGGGUGAGUAACACGUGGGAACGUACCUUUUGGUUCGGAAUGACGCAGGGAAACUUGUGCUAAUACCGAAUGUGCCCUUCGGGGGAAAGAUUUAUCGCCAUUAGAGCGGCCCGCGUUAGAUUAGCUAGUUGGUGAGG